AAUAAUAUCAUUUUGGUAAGAUUCUUCCAGACAGUAUGAUUAGGAUGUUACAUAAAUCAAACUGUGCUAUAUACAGUAUGCAGAGAAGGAAAUUCCUUAGCUUGUCUAAAGUCUGAUAGUGUGAAGAAUUUGCUGACCUGCUCUCCAUGCCUGUCUGAGCACGAGUGAAGUGAAUCAGAGAGAGAUUGCAAGAUGGAGAAAGGAGGUACAGUUGGAGAGAGUGGAGGGGGCAGGAAAGACCAGACAGAGCUGCAUCUCCCAUGAAAACAACUGUGUACAUAAGAUAGAGUGAGUACAUAGAGUACAUAGAAGAGUGAGCUCUGAAAGAACUCUCACAUGGACCCCAGAAAGAGGAGUACUCAACGCCUGCUGCACAGAAGGCAUCAGCAGUUAAGUACUGGCUAGAAAAGCGGAGUCCAUCAAAGGAGAGGACCACAGUGGUAGCUGCCUGUUACAAGCUAUUGAGGCACUCCAGAGUGACGGCAUGUGAUCCCCCUGACACAAGAAACAGGCCCAGAUAACACACCGUUCAGACCGACAGCAGUUCUGGUU
RNAcentral lists this long non-coding RNA (552 nucleotides) under Homo sapiens (human). RNAcentral describes it as "novel transcript". Lineage: Eukaryota; Metazoa; Chordata; Mammalia; Primates; Hominidae. The record is from RNAcentral.